CCGAGUUCUAAACUCCCAAACCCCUGUGAACAUACCUAUCGUUGCCUCGGCGUACGCGCCCCGGGCCCCCCGGGCACCGGAACCCGGCGCCGCCAAAGGACCUAAACUCUUGUAUUAGUACGUAUUCUGAGUGACACAAGCAAAUAAAUCA
This 151-nucleotide unclassified non-coding RNA is filed under the name soil metagenome. Its description in RNAcentral is "partial internal transcribed spacer 1". The record is from RNAcentral.